CGAAAGCCUGACGGAGCAAUACCGCGUGAGGGAAGAAGGUCUUUGGAUCGUAAACCUCUUUUCUCAGGGAAGAAGUUCUGACGGUACCUGAGGAAUAAGCCUCGGCUAACUCCGUGCCAGCAGCCGCGGUAAUACGGAGGAGGCAAGCGUUAUCCGGAAUUAUUGGGCGUAAAGCGUUCGCAGGUGGCCAUUCAAGUCUGCUGUCAAAGACCAGAGCUCAACUCUGGGUAGGCGGUGGAAACUGAAUAGCUAGAGUGCCGUAGGGGUAGAGGGAAUUCCCGGUGUAGCGGUGAAAUGCGUAGAGAUCGGGAAGAACAUCGGUGGCGAAAGCGCUCUACUGGACGGCAACUGACACUCAGGGACGAAAGCUAGGGGAGCG
This 379-nucleotide ribosomal RNA is filed under the name uncultured cyanobacterium. RNAcentral's name for it is "bacterial SSU rRNA". It matches the Rfam family "Bacterial small subunit ribosomal RNA", at positions 376 to 770 of the family's 1533-position model. Lineage: Bacteria; Bacillati; Cyanobacteriota. The record is from RNAcentral.